AGUGAACGCUGGCGGUAGGCCUAACACAUGCAAGUCGAACGGCAGCACAGUAAGAGCUUGCUCUUACGGGUGGCGAGUGGCGGACGGGUGAGGAAUACAUCGGAAUCUACUUUUUCGUGGGGGAUAACGUAGGGAAACUUACGCUAAUACCGCAUACGACCUACGGGUGAAAGCAGGGGAUCUUCGGACCUUGCGCGAUUGAAUGAGCCGAUGUCGGAUUAGCUAGUUGGCGGGGUAAAGGCCCACCAAGGCGACGAUCCGUAGCUGGUCUGAGAGGAUGAUCAGCCACACUGGAACUGAGACACGGUCCAGACUCCUAGGGGAGGCAGCAGUGGGGAAUAUUGGACAAUGGGCGCAAGCCUGAUCCAGCCAUACCGCGUGGUGAAGAAGGCCUUCGGGUUGUAAAGCCCUUUUGUUGGGAAAGAAAAGCAGCAGGUUAAUACCCCGCUGUUCUGACGGUACCCAAAGAAUAAGCACCGGCUAACUUCGUG
This 491-nucleotide ribosomal RNA is filed under the name uncultured bacterium. RNAcentral describes it as "partial 16S ribosomal RNA". It matches the Rfam family "Bacterial small subunit ribosomal RNA", at positions 29 to 507 of the family's 1533-position model. The record is from RNAcentral.